Long non-coding RNA from Odocoileus virginianus texanus, 1373 nucleotides. RefSeq lists it as uncharacterized. Lineage: Eukaryota; Metazoa; Chordata; Mammalia; Artiodactyla; Cervidae. The record is from RefSeq and is a predicted model, not a curated record.
UUUCUACCCAAACUUGAGAAAGAAGAAAAUAGGAGUUUACCAAGGAACUGUCCAAUAAAGGUGACAUGUUUGUUUCAGUGGAUCCACAAGGACCAGAAGCUUCCCAGUUUCUGGGAAGGAGGAGGGACUGGACUCCGCUCUUCGGAGUCGGGGGCGGGGUUGGAAUGUUGGGCCCUCGUUGCUCUCUGGCGCCCUCUUGUGGUCAGGUCGUGGUGGCAAGCACACCUCCGCGAAGCUGCCUCAGGAGCCGACAGGAAGCCCAAGGGUUGAAUCAGAACGGAGAACAGUCUCUUUAUUACCUUGUGGGGUAAACUUCUCAUCUUAGUCAGACUCUGAGGAGAAGGAGAGCCCCAGAGGAAACUGAAGGGGCCUAGGGCAACAAAGUUUUUCACGCUGACGAGGCAGAAUGCAGGAAGCUGUGGCUCAGGCCUUGCUGGUCUCGAAACAAAAAUGUAUAAAUACAUUAAAAUCUAUGUGGAACAUGGGCUCUUGGUGGAGUGGUGUGUUACACAAGGGAUUCAACAUAUUCUGAGGGCAUCUCUUCUACUCGUUUUCAGUUUCUUGCUAAAAUAGCAUCAUUAAGGUCCCUAGGUAAUCCGGUGCUGGAAGAGUAGAUCGGGAUCUGCUUAAUGGAAACGUGUUUGCUGGUUCGCCACGUGGUUUGUAGUGUCCGGGGCUUGCUGGGGCUGUUGGAAACGGUCACAAACAGGGAGCUAGCCGCCUGAAUGGGUAGCACUUGACCCUUUACGAAGCCCUUUGCCUACGUCAUCAUUAGCCGCCCCAGGAUGCUGUGAGACCAGAGGGAGGCGCUGUCGUAUGCUUGCCAAGGUGCCCCCUGGCCCUUCGGAGUCUCACCCUUCCUUCCCGGCUCCUUACUCCCUGGGAAGGGCGCCUGGCGCCUUUUCUUCUGUUUCCAAUAGCAAUCACUGUACUUGUUCACGUACAAAAAUAGCUCACUUGUCGGAGCUGCACGCGGACUGGGGCCACGGAAAUUCCGUGAGUGAAAGAACGGGUCAGAGAACUGUCUUUGGGUUUCGAGAGCUUCACUGUCAUAGUUAUCUCAAGUUCACACCCAUUCCCUGGAGGUAGCAACAUGCCAGAAAACAUUCUGCCUUUGAAGAACAAAAGUACAAAGAUGCUCUGACAACUGAAGGUUAUAGUUCUGCACCACUGCUUAUCAUGCGCUGCAUUUGGAAAUAGGGCCCAGAGUAGACAGUCACCUUCCCCAGUCUAUUUCUUUAGCACCGUCCCAUUGAGCGUCACCUGCUGGGUAAGACUUAACAAGAUGUGUCUGUUGGCCUGCACAAGACCUGGCUGACUUGAGCCCUGUGUGUCAGGAAGCAGAUCAAAAGUGGGCUUUGUGAUGGUUGAAC